UACGAAGGGGGCUAGCGUUGCUCGGAUUUACUGGGCGUAAAGGGCGCGUAGGCGGACAGUUUAGUCAGAGGUGAAAGCCCAGGGCUCAACCUUGGAAUUGCCUUUGAUACUGGCUGUCUUGAGUACGGGAGAGGUGAGUGGAACUCCGAGUGUAGAGGUGAAAUUCGUAGAUAUCGGGAGGAACACCAGUGGCGAAGGCGGUUGCCUGGGGCUUUGCUGACGCUGAUGCGCGAAAGCGUGGGGAGCGAUCCGG
This 253-nucleotide ribosomal RNA is filed under the name uncultured bacterium. RNAcentral describes it as "partial 16S ribosomal RNA". It matches the Rfam family "Bacterial small subunit ribosomal RNA", at positions 524 to 776 of the family's 1533-position model. The record is from RNAcentral.